This 484-nucleotide ribosomal RNA is filed under the name uncultured bacterium. Its description in RNAcentral is "partial 16S ribosomal RNA". It matches the Rfam family "Bacterial small subunit ribosomal RNA", at positions 30 to 507 of the family's 1533-position model. The record is from RNAcentral.
AUUGAACGCUGGCGGCAGGCCUAACACAUGCAAGUCGAGCGGAUGAAGGGAGCUUGCUCCUGGAUUCAGCGGCGGACGGGUGAGUAAUGCCUAGGAAUCUGCCUGGUAGUGGGGGAUAACGUCCGGAAACGGGCGCUAAUACCGCAUACGUCCUGAGGGAGAAAGUGGGGGAUCUUCGGACCUCACGCUAUCAGAUGAGCCUAGGUCGGAUUAGCUAGUUGGUGGGGUAAAGGCCUACCAAGGCGACGAUCCGUAACUGGUCUGAGAGGAUGAUCAGUCACACUGGAACUGAGACACGGUCCAGACUCCUACGGGAGGCAGCAGUGGGGAAUAUUGGACAAUGGGCGAAAGCCUGAUCCAGCCAUGCCGCGUGUGUGAAGAAGGUCUUCGGAUUGUAAAGCACUGUAAGUUGGGAGGAAGGGCAGUAAGUUAAUACCUGGCUGUUUUGACGGUACCAACAGAAUAAGCACCGGCUAACUUCGUG